Lactuca sativa (garden lettuce) is the source of this 1832-nucleotide long non-coding RNA. RefSeq lists it as uncharacterized. The record is from RefSeq and is a predicted model, not a curated record. NCBI's taxonomy places the organism in Eukaryota, Viridiplantae, Streptophyta, Magnoliopsida, Asterales, Asteraceae.
AGGCUUUUUCAGCCUCCUAUUGCAUUGGAUUUGGUUGAAAAAAAUAGAUGGUAAAAAGAAUCAAGGAUGUGGUCAAAGGAAGUAAGUGGGGAAAAGGAUUCAAAAUCGUCAGAUGAGUACUUAUCCUCUUCUCUUUGUGUGUUUUUGAAUCAAACCUGUAAGUAUUGUCAUAUAUAUCUUAAGUUCUUGGGUCAUUAUGUGACAUUACUAUAGGUAACAAUCUAAUUAUCAGAUUUCUUUUUUUAUAAAAAAAGAUUGUUUAAUUUUGGGUUUACGUAAGCUUUUAUUACCAGAUUUCUUUUUUUAUAAAAAAAGAUUAUUUAAUUUAUUUUACUUAACUUUUUAUGUGCUACGAAAUACAACUUCAAUACAAAGAUGGGUUAGAGGAAGCUCAUGGGUACUCCACUCGAUAUAUUUAUAUAUUAAUCUGAUUAAAAAUGUUUUUUUAAUUAUUAUUUUGAAAAUUCAUUAUCAGAAAAGGUCAAGCACUACAAUUCAACUGGUUAUUUGAGAUAGGGACAUUUGUUUUACAUCCUGAUGAAACAUUUUUUGUUGACUUUGAUAAGAUUCAAGAUACUGUUGAGGGGUUAAGUAGGGUUGUACUAACAACACAAGGAAAAGGGGACAAAGAUGCUGCUCGACAACUUCUUACAAAAUACUAUGUCAUGACACAACCUUUAAAACUUGCUUUGAAAAAACUAGAAAUGGUUCCGGUUCCAGUGGAUAUAACACCACCACUACCUUUUGGCAGAAAUUCUGUUGCCCUAAGUGUCAAGUGGAACUCCCUCCAACAUCUUUAGCCAAUCAGGUAAAAAGACGAAUUGAAUUCUUCAUAUCCACAUACUACAAAGGAAUUAUGACGUGUGAUGAUGAAACAUGUGACUAUACAACAUGGAGUUUAAACUUGCGUGUUGUUGGUGAAUCUGAGAGAGGAACAGUAUGCCCAAAUUACCUUCGCUGUAAUGGUCGUCUUGUGAGACGGUUUGGUUUUCAUCUCAAAGUCAAAAACACUAUUUUUGUCAUUACCCUUGAUCAAAAACUAAAAAUUUAAUUUUUGACUAGUAUACGGAGGCUAAUGUGUACAAGCAACUCUCUACUUAUGUUAUCUCCUGGAUGCUGAUCGCUGCAUUGACAAGGUUGAUGCUAAGUUGAAGGCUGCAGUUAAGAAAGAGGUUUGGUUGGAUUAGCUUUUUCCACAGCACAGAAGGUUAGGGACAGGUGUGAUUAUGGUUGGGUCAAACUUAAUGAUCUUUUCGCCUCAAUUUAGUAAAAUAAGGGAUUAGAGUUGAUUAAAUUUAAAUCCCAUUUAAAGAAAUACGAAUUGGCUUUCAAAUCAUGGUUAAGAAGCUAAGCUAACAGAGUUGUGUGGCUUUGUGAUGAAAGAUGAAUGAAGAUGUUAUGGUGAAGCCCUGCCAAUGACACAUAAACUAAAAGCUUCUUUAGCUAGUUCAGUGGGACCCAAUGUGAAGAUGACAUGGAUUAAAUUCAAGAUGGAGAUGCUGAUGAAGAGGACUUUGGUGAUGAGGAUGAUGAAGAGAAAGAUCAUCAAGAAAUAGAUAUCCUUUUAGCAUAGAUCGAUAUAUAUGAGCAUUUUGCUUUCAAACAUUGUUGGGGAAGAAGGUUGAAACUUGCUCUUUGUGAAGAGCUUGAUGAGAGAAUGUGUGACCUAAAUCUUUUAUCAAAUUCUCACUUUUGGAGGUGGCCAUAAGAAAAGGAUCCACCAGGAACAGGAAAAACACAAAAAAAAAAAAUUGGGCUUCUUAGUGCCAUAUUACAUACCAACUGAGUAUCUAAGUCUCUUAACUUUGUAAGACAUUGAUUACUUGAGGGUA